GCUCCUGUCGUGAUGAUAAUGGACUGACCCUCUGAAACUGACUGGGAUUGAAUCUACAACACCUUGCUACAUAAUAGACCUAGAGGCUGUGUUGUGGAGAGUCUCAAGAGAUCAUGUCAAUUUUCUGCUAUACCUUGGUUAGUGCUAGUGUGUUAAAAACAAUUUAGUCUUAAUUUUUCUUUAUUCUUGAGAAUUUCAUACAUGUAUACAAUAAAAACUAAUCAU
Long non-coding RNA from Myodes glareolus (Bank vole), 225 nucleotides. RefSeq lists it as uncharacterized. Lineage: Eukaryota; Metazoa; Chordata; Mammalia; Rodentia; Cricetidae. The record is from RefSeq and is a predicted model, not a curated record.